AGAGUUUGAUCAUGGCUCAGGACGAACGCUGGCGGUGUGCCUAAAACAUGCAAGUCGUGCGGGAUACCCGCAAGGGUGUUCAGCGGCGAACGGGUGAGUAAUGUGUGGGAAUCGGCCCUCGAGACGGGAACAACCCGCCGAAAGGCGGGCUAAUACCAGAUGCGAUAGGUUCGGGAAACUGGUCCUAUCAAAGGAUGCCCUCUAUUUAUAAGGUAUCGCUCGAGGAAGAGCCCACAUCCUAUCAGCUAGUUGGCGGGGUAAAAGCCCACCAAGGCUAUGACGGGUAGCUGGUCUGAGAGGACGGCCAGCCACACUGGGACUGAGACACGGCCCAGACUCCUACGGGAGGCAGCAGUUGGGAAUAUUGCACAAUGGACGAAAGUCUGAUGCAGCGACACCGCGUGUGGGAUGAAGGCCUUCGGGUUGUAAACCACUGUCAGGGGGGACGAAGUGUUCCGGCCUAAUAUGCCGGAAUGUUGACGGUACUCCCAGAGGAAAGCCACCGUUACUCUGUGCCAGCAGCCGCGGUA
This 530-nucleotide ribosomal RNA is filed under the name uncultured bacterium. RNAcentral's name for it is "bacterial SSU rRNA". It matches the Rfam family "Bacterial small subunit ribosomal RNA", at positions 8 to 522 of the family's 1533-position model. The record is from RNAcentral.